UACGGAGGGUGCAAACGUUGCUCGGAAUUAUUGGGCGUAAAGCGCACGUAGGCGGUCCGCUAAGUCGGGUGUGAAAUCCCUCGGCUUAACCGAGGAAGUGCAUUCGAAACUGGCGGGCUUGAGUACUGAAGAGGGUCGCGGAAUUCCCGGUGUAGAGGUGAAAUUCGUAGAUAUCGGGAGGAACACCAGUGGCGAAGGCGGUUCUCUGGGCAUGUCCUGACGCUGAGGAGCGAAAGUGUGGGGAGCGAACAGG
This 253-nucleotide ribosomal RNA is filed under the name uncultured bacterium. RNAcentral describes it as "partial 16S ribosomal RNA". It matches the Rfam family "Bacterial small subunit ribosomal RNA", at positions 524 to 776 of the family's 1533-position model. The record is from RNAcentral.